UUAGAGUUUGAUCCUGGCUCAGAGUGAACGCUGGCGGCAGGCCUAACACAUGCAAGUCGAACGGCAGCACAGAGGAGCUUGCUCCUUGGGUGGCGAGUGGCGGACGGGUGAGGAAUGCAUCGGAAUCUGCCUAUUUGUGGGGGAUAACGUAGGGAAACUUACGCUAAUACCGCAUACGUCCUACGGGAGAAAGUGGGGGACCUUCGGGCCUCACGCAGAUAGAUGAGCCGAUGCCGGAUUAGCUAGUUGGCGGGGUAAAGGCCCACCAAGGCGACGAUCCGUAGCUGGUCUGAGAGGAUGAUCAGCCACACUGGAACUGAGACACGGUCCAGACUCCUACGGGAGGCAGCAGUGGGGAAUAUUGGACAAUGGGCGCAAGCCUGAUCCAGCCAUGCCGCGUGUGUGAAGAAGGCCUUCGGGUUGUAAAGCACUUUUGUCCGGAAAGAAAAGCGCUCGAUUAAUACUCGGGUGUUAUGACGGUACCGGAAGAAUAAGCACCGGCUAACUUCGUGCCAGCAGCCGCGGUAAUACGAAGGGUGCAAGCGUUACUCGGAAUUACUGGGCGUAAAGCGUGCGUAGGUGGUUUGUUAAGUCUGAUGUGAAAGCCCUGGGCUCAACCUGGGAACUGCAUUGGAAACUGGCUUACUAGAGUGCGGUAGAGGGGUGUGGAAUUCCCGGUGUAGCAGUGAAAUGCGUAGAUAUCGGGAGGAACAUCUGUGGCGAAGGCGACACCCUGGACCAGCACUGACACUGAGGCACGAAAGCGUGGGGAGCAAACAGGAUUAGAUACCCUGGUAGUCCACGCCCUAAACGAUGCGAACUGGAUGUUGGGGGCAACUUGGCCCUCAGUAUCGAAGCUAACGCGUUAAGUUCGCCGCCUGGGGAGUACGGUCGCAAGACUGAAACUCAAGGGAAUUGACGGGG
RNAcentral lists this ribosomal RNA (924 nucleotides) under uncultured bacterium. Its description in RNAcentral is "bacterial SSU rRNA". It matches the Rfam family "Bacterial small subunit ribosomal RNA", at positions 1 to 918 of the family's 1533-position model. The record is from RNAcentral.